Molecule: ribosomal RNA, 253 nt
Filed under: uncultured bacterium
Lineage: Bacteria
Description: partial 16S ribosomal RNA
Rfam family: Bacterial small subunit ribosomal RNA
Source: RNAcentral
UACGUAGGGUGCGAGCGUUGUCCGAAAUUAUUGGGCGUAAAGAGCUUGUAGGCGGUCUGUCGCGUCUGCUGUGAAAAUCCGGGGCUCAACCCCGGACUUGCAGUGGGUACGGGCAGACUAGAGUGUGGUAGGGGAGACUGGAAUUCCUGGUGUAGCGGUGAAAUGCGCAGAUAUCAGGAGGAACACCGAUGGCGAAGGCAGGUCUCUGGGCCACUACUGACGCUGAGAAGCGAAAGCAUGGGGAGCGAACAGG